CCUACGGGCGGCAGCAGUGGGGAAUCUUCCGCAAUGGGCGAAAGCCUGACGGAGCAACGCCGCGUGUACGAAGAAGGCCUUCGGGUUGUAAAGUACUGUUUUCAGGGACGAACGGUAUAUGUGUGAAUAAUGCAUAUACAUGACGGUACCUGAGGAGGAAGCCCCGGCUAACUACGUGCCAGCAGCCGCGGUAAUACGUAGGGGGCGAGCGUUGUCCGGAAUCAUUGGGCGUAAAGGGCGCGUAGGCGGAUAUUUAAGUCUGGUGGGAAAGACCGGGGCUCAGCCCCGGGGCGGCACCGGAAACUGGAUAUCUUGAGGACAGGAGAGGAAAGCGGAAUUCCACGUGUAGCGGUGAAAUGCGUAGAUAUGUGGAGGAACACCAGUGGCGAAGGCGGCUUUCUGGACUGUAACAGACGCUGAGGCGCGAAAGCGUGGGAAGCAAACAGGAUUAGAUCCCCUGGUAGU
This 465-nucleotide ribosomal RNA is filed under the name uncultured Peptococcaceae bacterium. Its description in RNAcentral is "partial 16S ribosomal RNA". It matches the Rfam family "Bacterial small subunit ribosomal RNA", at positions 338 to 794 of the family's 1533-position model. The record is from RNAcentral. Lineage: Bacteria; Bacillati; Bacillota; Clostridia; Eubacteriales; Peptococcaceae.